Molecule: small RNA, 70 nt
Filed under: Pseudomonas oryzihabitans
Lineage: Bacteria; Pseudomonadati; Pseudomonadota; Gammaproteobacteria; Pseudomonadales; Pseudomonadaceae
Also listed under: 1 other name
Description: sX9 sRNA
Rfam family: Xanthomonas sRNA sX9
Source: RNAcentral
ACGCGAGCCCGGUCCGGUUCCUGCGCGCCGCACACACCUGUCUGACAACCGCUCGCGACGUUUUGUAACC